This 29-nucleotide non-coding RNA is filed under the name Mus musculus (house mouse). Lineage: Eukaryota; Metazoa; Chordata; Mammalia; Rodentia; Muridae. The record is from RNAcentral.
UCAAGUUUUUCAAAGAGGUCAUCCGUAGU